This is a non-coding RNA of Pelobates cultripes (western spadefoot toad), 1015 nucleotides long. NCBI's taxonomy places the organism in Eukaryota, Metazoa, Chordata, Amphibia, Anura, Pelobatidae. The record is from the annotation of a GenBank genome assembly.
UGGGUAGGUCUGUGCAGGGGGUAGGUCUGUGCAGGGGGUAGGUCUGUGCAGGGGGUAGGUCAGUGCAAGGGGUAGGAUUGGAAGUUUGGGUAGGUCAGUGCAGGGGGUAGGUCUGUGCAGGGGCUAGGUCUGUGCAGGGGGUAGGUCAGUGCAGGGGGUAGGUCAGUGCAGGGGGUAGUAUUGAGUAGGUCAGUGCAGGGGAUAGGACUGGAAGUUUGGGUAGGUCAGUGUAGGGUAGGACUGGAAGUUUGGGUACGUCAGUGCAGUGGGUAGGAUUGGAAGAUUGGGUAGGUCAGUGCCAGGUAUUAUGAUCGGAGAAUUGGGUUAGGUCAGUGCAAGGAUAGGAUCGAAAAGAUUGGAUAGUUCUGUGCAGGGGGUAGGAUCAGAGCAUUGGGCAGGUCUGUGCAGGGGGCAGGAUCGGAGCAUUGGGUAGGUCAGUGCAGGGGGCAGGAUCGGAGCAUUGGGUAGGUCAGUGCAGGGGAUAGGAUUGGAAGUUUGGGUAGGUGGGUAGGUCAGUGCAGAGGGCAGGAUCGGAGCAUUGGGUAGGUCUGUGCAGGGGGCAGGAUCGGAGCAUUGGGUAAGUCUGUGCAGGGGGCAGGAUCGGAGCAUUGGGUAGGUCAGUGCAGGGGGCAGGAUCGGAGCAUUGGGUAGGUCAGUGCAGUGGGCAGGAUCGGAGCAUUGGGUAGGUCAGUGCAGGGGAUAAGAUUGGAGGUUUGAGUAAGUCUGUGCAGGGGAUAGGAUUGAAAGUUUGGGUAGGUCAGUGCAGAUGGUGGAUUUGAGUAUUGAGUAGGUCAGUGCAGGGGAUAGGACUGGAAGUUUGGGUAGGUCAGUGCAGGGGAUAGGAUUGGAAGUUUUGGUAGGUCAGUGCAGGGGUCGUAAGAUUGUAAGGUUCUGAGACGUGGUAGCUUGCAGUUUCCGCACCCAGCGCACCUUGCCGUAUAUGACAAUUUGUCCCUUGUUACUAUUGCAGCACCGUGUCUGUCAUACUGUGUCUUUGUCCUCCCUUAACCAUAAG